UCACACAUUCACAAUGUCUUAGAACUGGCA
Molecule: non-coding RNA, 30 nt
Filed under: Rattus norvegicus (Norway rat)
Lineage: Eukaryota; Metazoa; Chordata; Mammalia; Rodentia; Muridae
Source: RNAcentral